Molecule: ribosomal RNA, 433 nt
Filed under: uncultured bacterium
Lineage: Bacteria
Description: partial 16S ribosomal RNA
Rfam family: Bacterial small subunit ribosomal RNA
Source: RNAcentral
AACGAACGCUGGCGGCAUGCCUAACACAUGCAAGUCGAACGAUACCUUCGGGUCUAGUGGCGCACGGGUGCGUAACGCGUGGGAACCUGCCCUUAGGUUCGGAAUAACUCCCCGAAAGGGGUGCUAAUACCGGAUAAUGUCUUCGGACCAAAGAUUUAUCGCCUUUGGAUGGGCCCGCGUUGGAUUAGCUAGUUGGUAGGGUAAAAGCCUACCAAGGCGACGAUCCAUAGCUGGUCUGAGAGGAUGAUCAGCCACACUGGGACUGAGACACGGCCCAGACUCCUACGCGAGGCAGCAGUGGGGAAUAUUGGACAAUGGGCGAAAGCCUGAUCCAGCAAUGCCGCGUGAGUGAUGAAGGCAUUAGGGUUGUAAAGCUCUUUUACCCGGGAUGAUAAUGACAGUACCGGGAGAAUAAGCACCGGCUAACUCCGUG